RNAcentral lists this ribosomal RNA (468 nucleotides) under uncultured bacterium. Its description in RNAcentral is "partial 16S ribosomal RNA". It matches the Rfam family "Bacterial small subunit ribosomal RNA", at positions 28 to 507 of the family's 1533-position model. The record is from RNAcentral.
GACGAACGCUGGCGGCGUGCUUAACACAUGCAAGUCGAACGGAAAGGCCCUGCGUUCGUGGUCUGCUCGAGUGCCGAACGGGUGAGUAACACGUGUGUAACCUGCUCUUGUCUUUGGGAUAACUUCAGGAAACUGGGGUUAAUAUCGGAUAGGAUCUCCCGUUGCAUGGUGGGGGGUGGAAAGUCUCGGCGGUAGGGGAUGGAUGGGCGGCUGACCAGCUUGUUGGUGGGGUAGUGGCUGACCGAGGCAUUGACGGAUAGGCGGCCUGAGAGGGUGACCGGCCACAAUGGGACUGAGGAAGGGACCAGACUCGAACGGGAGACAGCAGGGGGGAGUAUGGCACAGUGAGAGGAAGCCUGAGGCAGAGACGCCGCGUGCGGAAUGACGGCCUUCGGGUUGUGAACCGCUUUCGCCUGAGACGAAGCGGGAGUGACGGUAAUGGAUAAAGAAGCACCGGCUAACUACGUG